Molecule: long non-coding RNA, 1186 nt
Organism: Micropterus salmoides (largemouth bass)
Lineage: Eukaryota; Metazoa; Chordata; Actinopteri; Centrarchiformes; Centrarchidae
Exons: 3
Source: RefSeq, a predicted model, not a curated record
GGCAGCACAAUGAUGAUGUCACUGAUUCUACUGCUGGCCACCCUGGGGCUCCUUGUUCAGGAUUCAUCAGGAGAAAUCAUCCUGACUCAGUCUCCUGGAGCUCAGUCUGUUGUUCCAGGACAGACUGUCUCUCUCAGAUGUAAAGCCAGUUCAAGGAUCAGUAGCAACAUUUCAGAUCAUUUCAGUGGGAGUCAGUCUGGAACUGACUUCACUUUGACCAUCAGUGGAGUCCAGGCUGAAGACGCAGGAGUUUAUUACUGUCACCAGGGUGGUCACAGCUUCCCAUUCAUACAGUGAUACAACGUCGUACAAAAUCUUCCCUCAGCUGGAGAGGAACUGAUCUGAAUCACCAGCUGCACAGAAACCAUAACACUAGAUAUUUCAAAAACAUAACCACACUGUAAUGUAAUGUAUGUAAAUGUACUUUAAUUAGAAUGAAACUCAUGCAGUUAAAAGUUGUAAAGUUACAUUUUACUGAAACACACUGAGAGGUUACAAUAAUAAGAAAUGUCAUUUCGUAAGUUUUCCUUUGUUUUAGGUGAGUAUGUUAUUCAAAUUCAAUGCACCUCCAUGUUGAUUUGUAAAAUGUGAAAUCACUUUCAUAUUUUGUUAAUUUGAUAUAUUCUGUGUUGUUGUUUUUUUGCUUCUCAUCAUAAAGCUUAAAAUAUUUUUUGUUUAAACUUUGGUAGAUGUAUUGACAGGACUGAGUAAAUUGUCUUCAUGCAAAUAAAACACUGAUGAAAUAGGUGUGAUGAAAAUUUGAUAUUUUUUUGAUAUAUAUUUUGAAAUUUGAUAGGGCAUGCAAGCUGAAGAUUUAUACAAAGAGGACAAAGUGAUAAAAUAGCCAUCAAAAGGGGCUGAAGAACUCUGUACUAACCAAUCACAGUACGAGAAAAUGGACAGUAGGAGAGACCGGUGGACAAAAAUGGACAUUGGUACACAGAGAUUGUCUGGACAGAUACAAAACAGAUCCAAAUGGACUGAGCUGGAGGGGGCGGGACGGACGCUAGUGACAGGAAACAACUGGGACACACACACACUGGCUCCAGAUGGUUCGGUGACCCCAGUGCUGGAAGGAAUGCGUUCGCUACGAGAAGAACUUGCAGAGAACUCUGAAGUGGACACUAAUAUGUUUGACUGGUCUGAUUCUGUAUUUGCUAAAUAAAAAGCCUUAGUGAUGCCCAUA